RNAcentral lists this long non-coding RNA (435 nucleotides) under Elaeis guineensis (African oil palm). Its description in RNAcentral is "long non-coding RNA (EGUI_LNC010795)". The record is from RNAcentral. Lineage: Eukaryota; Viridiplantae; Streptophyta; Magnoliopsida; Arecales; Arecaceae.
GGCGUGCCAAUCUAGCCAUCAUGCUAUAAAUGUAUCAUGACAAUAUAAUAAACAGACCUGGUUCGGCACCAGGCUAAGUACAAACAUAUCAAUGGCCCUUUAAUACAUUAUUUUUGUUAAUUUUUUUGUAAGCCUUUGCAAAUGUACUUUAUCAUCGAUCUUAAUUUGUUCCCAGAAACUUGCUGUAACAUGCACGCAGCUGUCUUCUAUAAUCUUUAGACUGCAUUGAAGUCUCUCUUGAAGGAAAUCAGGUUGAGAAUAAUUUUCAUAUUCAUGCGUUUGAAUCAAUUCAUCAACUUAGUAGGAUAAUCCAGUAAUCCAAGGAUAUCGGUUUCUCCAUUUCUGAUCCGUGUGUGGUGGGAAUGAAUGUUGCAGUUAUUGUUUCGUAGCAAGCUGAGACAAAAAAUAGUAUGAGUAGUGCAACACGCCGUUGCC